Molecule: long non-coding RNA, 519 nt
Filed under: Daphnia pulex (common water flea)
Lineage: Eukaryota; Metazoa; Arthropoda; Branchiopoda; Diplostraca; Daphniidae
Description: uncharacterized LOC124203573
Source: RNAcentral
AAGGAUUUCCAAUAGACCUCUUGCACAAUGCGGAUAGCAGGAUUCUUGUAGUCCGACAACGCUGCAAUCCGCCAUAUUGAGAAAACCACACCCUUUUUUAACACUGUCUCUUAUGGAAGUAUUUUUUCAAAGUGUUUUUUCUCUAAACUGGAUAACAACUUCGAGCAAAGAAAAAUGUUAAAAAAUACUACAUCAUUCAGGGCAUAUGGGCAUUGUUUACAUAUGUGGACCAUAUGAGGACCCAAACAUAUUGUCAUGUUUGACGAGGUAUUGGUGGAAAAUGCUAUAAUCCAAUUAUUCGACCUAUCCAACUAUUCUGAUAGUUUGCCAACCGAGGCAAAAGAACGCUAUCUUUCGAAGUUGACAAGCAUCUAAUGCCAGAAUGAUCGGUCAAAUUUCACAAUGUGAAUUUGCUGCCACAAAAUCCUUUAGGUGCUGUGAAAUGAACACUGCAGAGCAUUAACACUAUAUGAUGACCUUUACAACCAGAUCGAAGAAGGAAUUGUGUCAGCUCAAAAA